CGCGAUUGGAUGAACCUAGGUGGGAUUAGCUAGUUGGUGAGGUAAUGGCUCACCAAGGCGACGAUCCCUAGCUGUUCUGAGAGGAUGAUCAGCCACACUGGGACUGAGACACGGCCCAGACUCCUACGGGAGGCAGCAGUGGGGAAUAUUGCACAAUGGGGGAAACCCUGAUGCAGCCAUGCCGCGUGUGUGAAGAAGGCCUUCGGGUUGUAAGGCACUUUCAGUAGGGAGGAAAGGGUGAGUCUUAAUACGGCUCAUCUGUGACGUUGCCUACAGAAGAAGGACCGGCUAACUCCGUGCCAGCAGCCGCGGUAAUACGGAGGGUCCGAGCGUUAAUCGGAAUUACUGGGCGUAAAGCGUGCGCAGGCGGUUUGUUAAGCGAGAUGUGAAAGCCUUGGGCUCAACCUAGGAAUAGCAUUUCGAACUGGCGAACUAGAGUCUUGUAGAGGGGGGUAGAAUUCCAGGUGUAGCGGUGAAAUGCGUAGAGAUCUGGAGGAAUACCGGUGGCGAAGGCGGCCCCCUGGACAAAGACUGACGCUCAUACACGAAAGCGUGGGGAGCAAACAGGAUUAGACACCCUGGUAGUCCACGCCGUAAACGAUGUCUACUCGGAAUUUGGUGCCUU
Molecule: ribosomal RNA, 625 nt
Filed under: uncultured bacterium
Lineage: Bacteria
Description: bacterial SSU rRNA
Rfam family: Bacterial small subunit ribosomal RNA
Source: RNAcentral